Non-coding RNA from Gossypium raimondii (Peruvian cotton), 107 nucleotides. Lineage: Eukaryota; Viridiplantae; Streptophyta; Magnoliopsida; Malvales; Malvaceae. The record is from Rfam.
AUCCCAUGAUGAGGAAACUUACGAAGUAACUCCUUGAAUCACUCCCAAGUCUCAUACAAAGAUUCGUCGUCCAAUUGUUGGAAAGUUGUGAUAUCGUUCCUUAACUU